This 1388-nucleotide ribosomal RNA is filed under the name Myxobolus terengganuensis. RNAcentral describes it as "SSU rRNA". It matches the Rfam family "Eukaryotic small subunit ribosomal RNA", at positions 334 to 1504 of the family's 1831-position model. Lineage: Eukaryota; Metazoa; Cnidaria; Myxozoa; Bivalvulida; Myxobolidae. The record is from RNAcentral.
UAGUGGCUUACCAAGGUUGUAACGGGUAACGGGGAAUCAGGGUUCGAUUCCGGAGAGGGAGCUUGAGAAUCGGCUACCACAUCCAAGGAAGGCAGCAGGCGCGCAAAUUACCAAAUCUAGACAGUAGGAGGUGGUGAAGAGAAGUACUAAGUGGUGGUUUUUUGCUAUCAGCUUGGAAUGGACGUAAUUUAAGCAAUUCGAUGAGUAACCACUGGAGGGCAAGUCCUGGUGCCAGCAGCCGCGGUAAUUCCAGCUCCAGUGGCGUGAUUUAAAGUUGCUGCGUUUAAAACGCUCGUAGUUGGAUCAAGCGGUAGCAGUUUGUAGUCUGUGGUGAUCAUUUGGCUGUUUCAGUCGAUGUUUGCCAUGGAUAAAAACGCAAACUGCUACUAUUUAAUCGCAAGUAUGUUGAUUGGCCUUUACUGAGCUGAUCAUCAUAUUUUGUGGAGUUGUGCCUUGAAUAAAACAGAGUGCUCAAAGCAGGCGAACGCUUGAAUGUUGUAGCAUGGAACGAACAAACGUGUAUACGCGCACGUCGUGCGAAGUAGGUGUGCUUCUGGUGUGCCUACUUUGUUGAUGUGUGCAUCACCCGCCCAAGUACGAUUGUUGGUUAUCGUAUAAGGUGAUGAUUAAAAGGAGCGGUUGGGGGCAUUGGUAUUUGGACGCGAGAGGUGAAAUUCAAAGACCGUCCAAGGACUAACAAAUGCGAAGGCAUCUGUCCAGACCGUAUCCAUUAAUCAAGAACGAAAGUGGGAGGUUCGAAGACGAUUAGAUACCGUCGUAGUUCCCACCGUAAACUAUGCCGACUAGGGAUCAGCUUGGUGAUAUUACAAGCAUCAAGUUGGUCUCCAAGGGAAACCAUGAGUUUUUCGGUUACGGGGAGAGUAUGGUCGCAAGUCUGAAAUUUAAAGGAAUUGACGGAAGGGCACCACCAGGGGUGGAACCUGCGGCUUAAUUUGACUCAACACGGGGAAACUUACAUGGUCCAGACAUCGAUAGGAUAAACAGACUGAUAGAUCUUUUUUGAUGCGGUGAGUGGUGGUGCAUGGCCGUUCCUAGUUCGUGGAGUGAUCUGUCAGGUUGAUUCCGGUAACGAACGAGACUACAACCUUCAUUUAAGAGGCAAAAGCAGGUUCUGUGGUCAUUGCGUUUCGGCGCUUUCGAUCGUGGUUCUGAAAGAAGAAUAUGCAAUAUCGCAUUCUGCUGGGGUAGCGGGUAACCGUGAACUCAGUUGGAUGUGGGUGGCGUGUAUUUUCUCCUUUGUCAAGCAGUCACGGGGAAACCUGUGGCUGACUUAUGGAGGGACUGCUGGUGCUUCAAAACCAGAGGAAGUGUGGCGAUAACAGGUCAGUGAUGCCCUUCGAUGUCCAUGGCUGCACGCGCGCUACAAU